Long non-coding RNA from Drosophila simulans, 2850 nucleotides. RefSeq lists it as uncharacterized. The record is from RefSeq and is a predicted model, not a curated record. Lineage: Eukaryota; Metazoa; Arthropoda; Insecta; Diptera; Drosophilidae. The transcript is spliced from 3 exons.
UGUAAUCGAUAACAUAUAGCUGAGAAUCGUGAUCGGAUCGCUGAAUAUUAUCGAAGCCCAAACAAUAACAAGCAAAGUUUAAACCAAUUUGCAAUGUAGCUUCUGCAUAAAUAAUUGACGGAAUAACUGGCUUCGCUCCGGCGUAAUUAGCCGGAAUUCAUGGAAUAGAAUCCCUUCACCAAAAGAUGACAACGCGGGCGAGGCCAAAAGUCAAAUACCAGGGCCAAAUGCACGCACAGCACAGAAGAAACGCAGGUGAAGGCGAUGCGAUGCGAUGGCAAAAGGCAAAGGCGUGUGCCAUCUAAAAUUUAUAAAAAUCAAAGUAAGCACUGCGAGCGCAAGGAGAAGAACUUUCCGAUGACCGACACUGAAUUUAAGAAGUUAUGGGUUAUGGGAAUGCGCCACGCAUCUUAAAGCUUAACUGCAUACUUUUGUUUUCAUUAGUUUAUUCUUUAAAAAAUGUAUAAAUAUGUUAUCUUAUAAGUUAUCUUACCAGAUAAAAUAAGAUUCAUAUCAUUUCAUAGAGCUUACAGUGCAAACCAUUCGACGAAAGUAAGCGACUCUGCCAAAGGAGUGGGAUGAUGAAAUCGAGGAGCAGGAGGUCAGCUCCGCAGCGAGUAAAACAAAAGGGAAAUGUCGAAAAGGAAUCUGGAUACACAUCAUCAUUUGUCUUGGCGGGAAGAAGGCGGUGGUGGCCACCAAGGCAGCGGAGACUGGCUCCAUUUAGGCCAGGCGCACAUUGAUGAAUGAAGUGCGUAGUGGCUGAAAGGCCAAAAGGCAGGCAGCAUUAAAAAUGCACACGCAAUCAGAAAAUGCCCCACGACGGCCUCAUAAGCCGAAGUCUGAGGACUCAGGACGCCAGAGUCCGGAACCCGGCACUUUCGACUCCGUGCGCAAUGCGAACCAGGUGAUGGAUCAGCGGCCUCAGAUAAGACAGACAGAAGAAGGACAAGGAAGGAGAAGCUGCAGAUGGAGAUGGAGCCAUAGCCAUAGCCAUAGCCAGAUCCAGAGUCGGGGUAAUGAGUGAGUUGAAUUGGGGCGGCUGACGUCAAAUGUUGUUAACCCCUUUUGAGCCGGGCCUCUCGCCGUGGAGAAACAAUUUAUAAUUUGUUUGAGGGCUUUCAGCGGCCUUUCAAGGCAAUUACCCCGCAUCCGCAUGGCGGACAGCUGGAUCUGACUUUACCUUUGGCAGCCGCCAACUGUGAACUUUGGCACCCAGAUUGGUCAGGAUUCGGGCCCGCUGACUGGGUCAUCCUGUUGGCCAUUCUCCAUUUUCACGCUGUGAUGUAUUGUGAAAACAUCGAGCAUGUUGCCUUUGACGGAACACCUUCAUUUGCACUGAACCAAAAACGAAGCAGCUUCUAGCCAAUGAUAAUACAUUGGAAAUUAUCAAUCUUAAACUCAUAGCUAAUCCGAGAUAGCUGCGGGAUUGUUGAUACUGUAAAGGGUUUGCAUUUGUCGCAAAUCCCAAACCAUAAACCAUAUUUUCACCAUGAAUAUCUUGAUGAUUUCGUGAAAGUGUAGCACACCAGUGAGUGAAAACGUGAUUGUUGACCCUUACGGAGAUAUGCACAGAUUUCCCAUUGACAGGAAAAGGACUUUCGCUCACUGUCCCGACUCCCCAAGGAUAUGAAAUUGUGCUGCCUUGCCAGCAGCAGCUACUUAUGUACUAGUGUUAUUUGUGGAUCUGUAUUAAAAUUCAAGCUCUUUCAUGCUAUUAAUAUUCCAUUGCGUAUUCGCGCGAGAAUAUAUUCCAUUUUUAAUAACACGAAACUUUAUGAAAAUUUUAUAAAUACAAAAGCAGCGAUGUGCAGGAGUAGCUGUUGCCAGAUUCCUUGACAGUAAGGAAAAGAAAAGGAAAGCUCAAAAGUCAAAGCAAACAGGGGCGAAGUCACUGGGGCCAAGGAUCCGAACCCAACCAAACUGAACCCCAAGCUGGAUAAAUUGCGCAAUGAAUCCGUUUGGGUGAUGGUGAAAGUCGGCUGCACACCAUCGAACCCACCCACAGCCACACCCACUCGCUCGAAUGAAAACAAAAAGUGGAAAAAAAAACAAUUGAAAUGUGAAUAUUAAAUAUACAAGUACAAGUUGCCAGUUAGUGUGCUCCCGCCAUUGUUUGUUGCAGCACCUUGCAGAUCCAGAACAAACACCCACGCAGCCACCUACUCAUCCUCCAUCCAACCACCCAUCCAACCAACCCACCGCUUGACGGCGAACUCCCCGCGGCGUCAUUGUGCUUCCUGGCAGGCGGCAGUGGAAAAUGCCAUUUGAUGGCAUUUAGAUGGGAUCGCUGAUUGAUGUUACCGGCUUCUACGCGAAUUCCCAAAGCCAGACCCGCGCUCGGUCAGUUGGAUUCCCUGGCGUUGGAUGGCUGCUGGCGUUUGGAGUACCGAAGAUGGAGGGUUUCGCUUCGGUUUCGUGGGCGCUCAAGAACUUGGCGAAAGGUGGCUCUACGGAAAUCGAGUAGGCGGAAGGCGGUCUUCAGCUGGCAUUAGUGAUAAGGUGGCGUCGGAUGAGUACCCCACUGCUCCUGGAUGGCUGGAAUGCAUAGUACUUAGCCGGCAUAGUAUAAAUUUCAAUUGAAAUCCCUACAGAUGAGGGUUACUCGCUACUCAUCAACUUUCCAACCUUAACCGUAAAACUAUGUCAAACUAAUAGUGCUAUGGAAUAGGGUCAGUUUGGCCAUGCCGGAUAACUAAAUCUUUCAGCUAGCUGCGCUAUUAUUACAUGGACAUCUCAACCCAUAUAUGGGCUAGCUGUUGUAUGUGGCACUUUUACCAUGGUUCCGGCAUAUGUGUAAUGCAUGCAACGAGGCACAUUAAUUAAAUAAAAAUUGAUUUUCCAAGCGCA